RNAcentral lists this non-coding RNA (26 nucleotides) under Cricetulus griseus (Chinese hamster). Lineage: Eukaryota; Metazoa; Chordata; Mammalia; Rodentia; Cricetidae. RNAcentral also lists the same sequence under 1 other name. The record is from RNAcentral.
AGACAGACAGACAGACAGACAGACAG